This 721-nucleotide ribosomal RNA is filed under the name uncultured fungus. RNAcentral describes it as "eukaryotic LSU rRNA". The stretch from base 217 to 371 matches the Rfam family "5.8S ribosomal RNA". The record is from RNAcentral. Lineage: Eukaryota; Fungi.
GGAAGGAUCAUUACCGAAUUGUCAACAUGAAGUUGUUGCUGGCCCUCAGAUGGGGGCAUGUGCACACUCUGUUUACACAUCCACUCACACCUGUGCACUCCUCUGUAGUACUGUGGUCUGGGGGUUCUGUCCUCCUACUGUGGUUCUGCGUAUUUAUACACACACACUGUAAUAAAGUCUCAUGGAAUGUAUGCCGCGUUUAACGCAAUGAAAUACAACUUUCAGCAACGGAUCUCUUGGCUCUCGCAUCGAUGAAGAACGCAGCGAAAUGCGAUAAGUAAUGUGAAUUGCAGAAUUCAGUGAAUCAUCGAAUCUUUGAACGCACCUUGCGCCCUUUGGCUAUUCCGAAGGGCAUGCCUGUUUGAGUAUCAUGAACACCUCAACUCUCAUGGCUUGCCAUGAUGAGCUUGGACUUGGGGGUUUUGCUGGCCCUACAGUCAGCUCCCCUCAAAUGCAUCAGCUUUCCAGUUUUUGGUGGCACCACAAGUGUGAUAAACAUCUACACGUGUGGUUCCCCACCAUGUAACCUUCAGUGAUGGAGGUUUGCUGGAGCUCACAAAUGUCUUUCCUCAGUGAAGACAGUUCUUUGAUUGUUUGAUCUCAAAUCAGGUAGGACUACCCGCUGAACUUAAGCAUAUCAAUAAGCGGAGGAAAAGAAACUAACAAGGAUUCCCCUAGUAACUGCGAGUGAAGCGGGAAGAGCUCAAAUUUAAAAUCUGAC